Molecule: non-coding RNA, 145 nt
Filed under: Tardiphaga robiniae
Lineage: Bacteria; Pseudomonadati; Pseudomonadota; Alphaproteobacteria; Hyphomicrobiales; Nitrobacteraceae
Also listed under: 1 other name
Description: Rhodopseudomonas sp. R-45977 TPP riboswitch aptamer (THI element)
Rfam family: TPP riboswitch aptamer (THI element)
About the family: Vitamin B(1) in its active form thiamin pyrophosphate (TPP) is an essential coenzyme that is synthesised by coupling of pyrimidine and thiazole moieties in bacteria. The previously detected thiamin-regulatory element, thi box was extended, resulting in a new, highly conserved RNA secondary structure, the THI element, which is widely distributed in eubacteria and also occurs in some archaea. Analysis of operon structures identified a large number of new candidate thiamin-regulated genes, mostly transporters, in various prokaryotic organisms.
Source: Rfam by way of RNAcentral
AGUCGUUCCGAGGGGGGCUCCGACGAGGAGCUGAGAUACCGCAAGCUUGCACUUUUCCUGUUCCGGAAGAGACGCGCGAGACCGCGGUGACCCUUUGAACCUGAUCCGGGUCAUGCCGGCGAAGGGACAGGGAUGUUUCAGACUA